AUAUUUUGGAUACUAAAAUAUAUUAAUUAUUUUAAAAUUAUAUCUAUUAGAUAUUCAAAAAUAUGAAAAUAUCUCAAAAUUAUCAACAUAGUCACAAGUAAAUAUCUAAAAAUAACAGUAAAUGUUUAAAAUACUGAUAACAUUUAUUUGUUCUCCAUCCAAAUAUUUUAAUUGAACUAAUUUUUAUGUCAAUUUAAAUAGUUAGUCUUACAUUAUUCAAAUGUGUAUGUUUUAUAUUAUUUUAUUUUCAGAUUUUGAGGAUUUAAGUAUAUUUUGGUUUUUUUAUAAAAGAAUAUGUAAUUAAAAUGGGUAUUUGAACUCAAAUUCGAACUGAACCCACAAUGAUUCGAACCAAAUUUAAACCAAAAUUUAUAAAUAUUUAAAUAAGAUUUAAAUUAUUACUCUGAAAAUUUGAAAGAUCAAAUGAAUCCAAACAGAUAUAUGAAUAUUAAUUCAUAAAAAGCUAUACGACAAAUCUCUUAGUACAUCAUACUAUAAAUAAUCUAAUAAACUAUUUCACUUC
RNAcentral lists this long non-coding RNA (523 nucleotides) under Brassica napus (rape). RNAcentral's name for it is "long non-coding RNA (BNAP_LNC001357)". The record is from RNAcentral. Lineage: Eukaryota; Viridiplantae; Streptophyta; Magnoliopsida; Brassicales; Brassicaceae.